RNAcentral lists this ribosomal RNA (842 nucleotides) under Vibrio sp. YCWB2-1. RNAcentral's name for it is "bacterial SSU rRNA". It matches the Rfam family "Bacterial small subunit ribosomal RNA", at positions 372 to 1205 of the family's 1533-position model. Lineage: Bacteria; Pseudomonadati; Pseudomonadota; Gammaproteobacteria; Vibrionales; Vibrionaceae. The record is from RNAcentral.
UGGGCGCAGCCUGAUGCAGCCAUGCCGCGUGUAUGAAGAAGGCCUUCGGGUUGUAAAGUACUUUCAGCAGUGAGGAAGGUUCAUACGUUAAUAGCGUAUGGAUUUGACGUUAGCUGCAGAAGAAGCACCGGCUAACUCCGUGCCAGCAGCCGCGGUAAUACGGAGGGUGCGAGCGUUAAUCGGAAUUACUGGGCGUAAAGCGCAUGCAGGUGGUUUGUUAAGUCAGAUGUGAAAGCCCGGGGCUCAACCUCGGAAUAGCAUUUGAAACUGGCAGACUAGAGUACUGUAGAGGGGGGUAGAAUUUCAGGUGUAGCGGUGAAAUGCGUAGAGAUCUGAAGGAAUACCGGUGGCGAAGGCGGCCCCCUGGACAGAUACUGACACUCAGAUGCGAAAGCGUGGGGAGCAAACAGGAUUAGAUACCCUGGUAGUCCACGCCGUAAACGAUGUCUACUUGGAGGUUGUGGCCUUGAGCCGUGGCUUUCGGAGCUAACGCGUUAAGUAGACCGCCUGGGGAGUACGGUCGCAAGAUUAAAACUCAAAUGAAUUGACGGGGGCCCGCACAAGCGGUGGAGCAUGUGGUUUAAUUCGAUGCAACGCGAAGAACCUUACCUACUCUUGACAUCCAGAGAACUUUCCAGAGAUGGAUUGGUGCCUUCGGGAACUCAGAGACAGGUGCUGCAUGGCUGUCGUCAGCUCGUGUUGUGAAAGUUGGGUUAAGUACAGCAACGAACCAACCGCUUUAUUCUUGUUUGCUAUCGAGGAUUGUCCGGGACGUGCAGGUAGACUGCCAGGGAUAAACACGGAGUGAGGGUGGGGACGAUUCCAAUGAUCUUCGUUCGUUA